Molecule: ribosomal RNA, 2902 nt
Filed under: Klebsiella pneumoniae
Lineage: Bacteria; Pseudomonadati; Pseudomonadota; Gammaproteobacteria; Enterobacterales; Enterobacteriaceae
Description: 23S ribosomal RNA
Rfam family: Bacterial large subunit ribosomal RNA
Source: RNAcentral
GGUUAAGCGACUAAGCGUACACGGUGGAUGCCCUGGCAGUCAGAGGCGAUGAAGGACGUGCUAAUCUGCGAAAAGCGUCGGUAAGGUGAUAUGAACCGUUAUAACCGGCGAUGUCCGAAUGGGGAAACCCAGUGUGAUUCGUCACACUAUCGUUAACUGAAUACAUAGGUUAACGAGGCGAACCGGGGGAACUGAAACAUCUAAGUACCCCGAGGAAAAGAAAUCAACCGAGAUUCCCCCAGUAGCGGCGAGCGAACGGGGAGCAGCCCAGAGUCUGAAUCAGCUUGUGUGUUAGUGGAACGGUCUGGAAAGUCCGACGGUACAGGGUGAUAGUCCCGUACACCAAAAUGCACAGGUUGUGAACUCGAAGAGUAGGGCGGGACACGUGGUAUCCUGUCUGAAUAUGGGGGGACCAUCCUCCAAGGCUAAAUACUCCUGACUGACCGAUAGUGAACCAGUACCGUGAGGGAAAGGCGAAAAGAACCCCGGCGAGGGGAGUGAAAAAGAACCUGAAACCGUGUACGUACAAGCAGUGGGAGCACCUUCGGGUGUGACUGCGUACCUUUUGUAUAAUGGGUCAGCGACUUAUAUUCUGUAGCAAGGUUAACCGUAUAGGGGAGCCGCAGGGAAACCGAGUCUUAACUGGGCGUUAAGUUGCAGGGUAUAGACCCGAAACCCGGUGAUCUAGCCAUGGGCAGGUUGAAGGUUGGGUAACACUAACUGGAGGACCGAACCGACUAAUGUUGAAAAAUUAGCGGAUGACUUGUGGCUGGGGGUGAAAGGCCAAUCAAACCGGGAGAUAGCUGGUUCUCCCCGAAAGCUAUUUAGGUAGCGCCUCGUGAAUUCAUCUUCGGGGGUAGAGCACUGUUUCGGCUAGGGGGUCAUCCCGACUUACCAACCCGAUGCAAACUACGAAUACCGAAGAAUGUUAUCACGGGAGACACACGGCGGGUGCUAACGUCCGUCGUGAAGAGGGAAACAACCCAGACCGCCAGCUAAGGUCCCAAAGUCAUGGUUAAGUGGGAAACGAUGUGGGAAGGCACAGACAGCCAGGAUGUUGGCUUAGAAGCAGCCAUCAUUUAAAGAAAGCGUAAUAGCUCACUGGUCGAGUCGGCCUGCGCGGAAGAUGUAACGGGGCUAAACCAUGCACCGAAGCUGCGGCAGCGACACUAUGUGUUGUUGGGUAGGGGAGCGUUCUGUAAGCCUGCGAAGGUGUGCUGUGAGGCAUGCUGGAGGUAUCAGAAGUGCGAAUGCUGACAUAAGUAACGAUAAAGCGGGUGAAAAGCCCGCUCGCCGGAAGACCAAGGGUUCCUGUCCAACGUUAAUCGGGGCAGGGUGAGUCGACCCCUAAGGCGAGGCCGAAAGGCGUAGUCGAUGGGAAACAGGUUAAUAUUCCUGUACUUGGUGUUACUGCGAAGGGGGGACGGAGAAGGCUAUGUUAGCCGGGCGACGGUUGUCCCGGUUUAAGCAUGUAGGCUGGUUGUCCAGGCAAAUCCGGAUAAUCAAGGCUGAGGUGUGAUGACGAGGCACUACGGUGCUGAAGUAACAAAUGCCCUGCUUCCAGGAAAAGCCUCUAAGCAUCAGGUAACAUCAAAUCGUACCCCAAACCGACACAGGUGGUCAGGUAGAGAAUACCAAGGCGCUUGAGAGAACUCGGGUGAAGGAACUAGGCAAAAUGGUGCCGUAACUUCGGGAGAAGGCACGCUGGUGUGUAGGUGAAGUCCCUGCGGAUGGAGCUGAGACCAGUCGAAGAUACCAGCUGGCUGCAACUGUUUAUUAAAAACACAGCACUGUGCAAACACGAAAGUGGACGUAUACGGUGUGACGCCUGCCCGGUGCCGGAAGGUUAAUUGAUGGGGUUAUCCGUAAGGAGAAGCUCUUGAUCGAAGCCCCGGUAAACGGCGGCCGUAACUAUAACGGUCCUAAGGUAGCGAAAUUCCUUGUCGGGUAAGUUCCGACCUGCACGAAUGGCGUAAUGAUGGCCAGGCUGUCUCCACCCGAGACUCAGUGAAAUUGAACUCGCUGUGAAGAUGCAGUGUACCCGCGGCAAGACGGAAAGACCCCGUGAACCUUUACUAUAGCUUGACACUGAACAUUGAGCCUUGAUGUGUAGGAUAGGUGGGAGGCUUUGAAGCGUGGACGCCAGUCUGCGUGGAGCCAACCUUGAAAUACCACCCUUUAAUGUUUGAUGUUCUAACGUUGGCCCCUGACCGGGGUUGCGGACAGUGUCUGGUGGGUAGUUUGACUGGGGCGGUCUCCUCCCAAAGCGUAACGGAGGAGCACGAAGGUUAGCUAAUCCUGGUCGGACAUCAGGAGGUUAGUGCAAUGGCAUAAGCUAGCUUGACUGCGAGCGUGACGGCGCGAGCAGGUGCGAAAGCAGGUCAUAGUGAUCCGGUGGUUCUGAAUGGAAGGGCCAUCGCUCAACGGAUAAAAGGUACUCCGGGGAUAACAGGCUGAUACCGCCCAAGAGUUCAUAUCGACGGCGGUGUUUGGCACCUCGAUGUCGGCUCAUCACAUCCUGGGGCUGAAGUAGGUCCCAAGGGUAUGGCUGUUCGCCAUUUAAAGUGGUACGCGAGCUGGGUUUAGAACGUCGUGAGACAGUUCGGUCCCUAUCUGCCGUGGGCGCUGGAGAAUUGAGGGGGGCUGCUCCUAGUACGAGAGGACCGGAGUGGACGCAUCACUGGUGUUCGGGUUGUCAUGCCAAUGGCACUGCCCGGUAGCUAAAUGCGGAAGAGAUAAGUGCUGAAAGCAUCUAAGCACGAAACUUGCCCCGAGAUGAGUUCUCCCUGAGACUUUAAGUCUCCUGAAGGAACGUUGAAGACGACGACGUUGAUAGGCCGGGUGUGUAAGCGCAGCGAUGCGUUGAGCUAACCGGUACUAAUGAACCGUGAGGCUUAACCUU